UGACGUCUCAGCCAUGAUUAUACACACAGUUACCACAUCCUUUCUGAACAUCUUUAUUCAAAAAGCUGACAUAAAAUGGUUUGCUAAGCUAUUAAUUGAAGCCUACUAACCGACACUUUCAGAAGACUUCGUUCCAGUUUUUUCAGUUUCCCUGUAGGUAAUCCAGACAGGCUGGGUGCUGGAGAGGGCUCUGGACUCCUAACUUCAAUUCUCGUCUGUGCAGUCGACACUCAGAAGCAUCACUUCAGCACUGAUUCCAUGAUCUGGAACAUUUUGAAAUCCUACCAGAUGGGGCAGAAGUCAUUGAGCAGUGGCAGCUUC
This is a long non-coding RNA of Alosa sapidissima (American shad), 321 nucleotides long. RefSeq lists it as uncharacterized. Lineage: Eukaryota; Metazoa; Chordata; Actinopteri; Clupeiformes; Clupeidae. The record is from RefSeq and is a predicted model, not a curated record. The transcript is spliced from 3 exons.